Molecule: unclassified non-coding RNA, 1582 nt
Filed under: Hevea brasiliensis (rubber tree)
Lineage: Eukaryota; Viridiplantae; Streptophyta; Magnoliopsida; Malpighiales; Euphorbiaceae
Source: RNAcentral
AAGUGAAGGUCAAUACUCAAUUUGAGAAGUUAAAUUGCUUUUGCUUUGAAAGGCAAUGAAAUUGUUGAUGUAAUUAACGAAUAUUUCAGUUUAAAGGAAGGAAUACAUAAAUUUAUCCUUGAAUUUUACUAAAAAUUAUAAUAGCUUUCUGUGCACUAACUACAUCAGAGCAAAGAUGAAAAAUAUUACCUUAAUUGAACAUUCUUUUUUAAAAUUACAGUCUAGCUGGAGUGAUUUUGAACCAAGUGAUUCCUGGUUGUAACUUGUCUGCUACUCUGCUUACUAAUGGCGCUCUGUUAUUAAGAUGCAGAUUGUUAAUUUCAGCCAUUUUGUGAGAAAUUUCAGCCAUAUUUCAAUGAAAAAAGCUCAAUUGAUGUCAGAAGAAAAUGCUGCAGCAAUAUAAAUGGAAAAUUUACUGAAUUAAAAGAUUCAUCUUUUGCAGGAAGAAUAAUUAAUUACGUUGUAAUUCACAAAAAUUUUCAAUCUAAACUUCCAUUUCAAUUAGAAUGGCUGUGUAAGCAAUUGAGCAUCAUCCUUACAUGAUUUUGAUGAUUAAAUUUGUGUAAGUAAUUCAUUACAAAAUGUAGACAACAACAUGUAUUAGCCUAAUAAGAAGAAAAGAUGAGGAGGAAAAACCAACAGUGGUUUAAACCCAGGACCAGCAGGUCCAACCCUAUACACCCAACCUAUAAUAACUAAACCACUUGUUGAUGAAAAAAAACCCCUCAAACAAUGCAACGUAGAUAAAGAGUCAAUUAAAUAAAGCAACAUAGACGGAAUUGGUACACGAUUCAUUCUCUCUUAUUGCAGGAUCCAAAGCUCAAACUCAGAGACUUCUGGCCUCACACAAAUUUGCAAUCUAAAUCUCCAUAACUUGUGAGAUACUAAAUUGCAUGUAAGCUCCAGACAUUCCAUUAAUAUAGUUGUGCAAGCAAACAAGUAGCUCAUAGUAUCAUCCUUUUAUGAUUAUAAUCCUUGAAUCAGCUUGAAUUAAAUCUUCGCUUCAAGCUGUUAAAAAACACUCCAUCUGAACAACAUGUGCUAGAGCAGGAAAUAACAUUUUCAAGUCGCAACUCGUGCAACUUUGAAUUAUGGGUCAACGAUUCAUUCCAUUAUUCACUCAGAAUAUCUGCUGCAUAAAUGAUGCAAAUGGGGAGAGAACCAAUCACUCAACAACAGCAGGAAUGUACAGGAAAGUCAUUGGGAGUCUUGAACAGUCAAACCUUACAAGAGAUGGUAAUUAUGGGUCAAUGAUGGAUGUGCAUGUGCUUAUCUUUCACUACACACAAAGAAAAACACAAUAACCUUAGUUCAUAUCAGGAAGUUUGUAAAUCACAUAAAAAAAAACACACACACACACACUUGACCAGAUUAAAUUAGGGGUUUUCCCUUCUUUUCUCCAAGAUCUGAUAUUAAGCCAGAUAGAUUAUAACAAUUUCACCGAAUUGCGUUCGAAAGUUUUGAAAUUUCAGAUUUUGAUCUCAGAUCUGCUUUUAAGACAUUCAGAUCGGACCUAACACUUAAUUUCUUAAAGGUCUAGGGGUUUUUUUUUUUUCUCUGAUGAUAAAAAAAAAUAAUAACA